This 514-nucleotide ribosomal RNA is filed under the name Battus philenor (pipe-vine swallowtail). RNAcentral describes it as "partial LSU rRNA". The stretch from base 387 to 514 matches the Rfam family "Archaeal large subunit ribosomal RNA", at positions 2542 to 2669 of the family's 2987-position model. The record is from RNAcentral. Lineage: Eukaryota; Metazoa; Arthropoda; Insecta; Lepidoptera; Papilionidae.
UUUUUGAAAAUAAUAUAAAGUCUAAUCUGCCCACUGAUAAAUUAUUAAAGGGCUGCAGUAUUUUGACUGUACAAAGGUAGCAUAAUCAAUAGUCUCUUAAUUGGUGACUUGUAUGAAAGAUUGGAUGAGAUAUAAACUGUCUCUACUUAAUUAAUAAAAUUUAAUUUUUUAAUUAAAAAGUUAAAAUAAUUUUAAAAGACGAGAAGACCCUAUAGAGUUUUAUAAUUUAAUUAAUUAAUUAUUAAUAUAUAAAUUUUAAAAUUAGAAUUAAUUAAAUUAUUUUAUUGGGGUGAUAGAAAAAUUAAANUAACUUUUUUUUAAAAUUUAACAUUAAUUUAUGAUUUAAUGAUCCAUUAAUAAUGAUUAUAAGAAAAAAUUACCUUAGGGAUAACAGCGUAAUUUUUUUUUUUAGUUCUUAUAAGAAAAAAAGUUUGCGACCUCGAUGUUGGAUUAAGAUAAAAUUUAAAUGCAAAAGUUUAAAAUUUUUGAUCUGUUCGAUCAUUAAAAUCUUACA